CAAAUAUCUUGAACCAUCCUGGACAUAUUCAGGUUGAUUACGACUUGUGAUGUCCGAGUUCGAAAUGUAAUAAAUUCGAACUUUCAGCUCUGAAGUGAGUUAAAAUAGUUCGAACAUACAUUCAAUCCGAACUAUUUAACGUUCGAACUUGAGAUUCGAACUCAGAUAGAAAUAAAAA
Trachymyrmex cornetzi is the source of this 178-nucleotide long non-coding RNA. RefSeq lists it as uncharacterized. The transcript has 3 exons. The record is from RefSeq and is a predicted model, not a curated record. NCBI's taxonomy places the organism in Eukaryota, Metazoa, Arthropoda, Insecta, Hymenoptera, Formicidae.